GCCUGUCUGGCUCAGUUGAUAGAGCAUGUGACUCUUGAUCUUGGAAUCAUGAGUUUGAGCCCCAUGUUGGGUG
RNAcentral lists this transfer RNA (73 nucleotides) under Mustela putorius furo (domestic ferret). It matches the Rfam family "tRNA". From Rfam's summary of the family: Transfer RNA (tRNA) molecules are approximately 80 nucleotides in length. Their secondary structure includes four short double-helical elements and three loops (D, anti-codon, and T loops). Further hydrogen bonds mediate the characteristic L-shaped molecular structure. tRNAs have two regions of fundamental functional importance: the anti-codon, which is responsible for specific mRNA codon recognition, and the 3' end, to which the tRNAs corresponding amino acid is attached (by aminoacyl-tRNA synthetases). tRNAs cope with the degeneracy of the genetic code in two manners: having more than one tRNA (with a specific anti-codon) for a particular amino acid; and 'wobble' base-pairing, i.e. permitting non-standard base-pairing at the 3rd anti-codon position. Lineage: Eukaryota; Metazoa; Chordata; Mammalia; Carnivora; Mustelidae. The record is from Rfam by way of RNAcentral.